GUUAUACCCUUUUUUAGACGAAGUAUAUGAUACUGCUUACCAAACAUAGCUGUCCUGUUACACUUUUGUCAGGGAAUAGAAAUAAAAAAUUAUAAUUUAAUUACUCUGGCAUCUACAGUGGAAGGAUCAGUUUUUAUGGCAUGGACUAGAAAGGAGAGAAGUGGACCAUGUGAACGUAGUACAACAUUGUUGUUAGUUCGCGCAGUCGAGGUCUGCUCAGGAAGACACAGUUCGACCGAACAGCUGUUGUGUUUUCCCAGUUGUUUGCAAAUCCGACGAAAAGGAGCAAAGAAAGAAUAUUGAGGAAUAUUUAGGUAAAGAAGAACAAGUGCAUUUAUGUUGCUUCCUGCAAGGUCAAUGAUAUGGAGCCAGUUGGAAUUCAUAUUCAAGCUAAUACAGUGACUAAAUUUGGCGAGCAGCGAGUGCCUGAUCAUGAUCUGCGGGAGGGUAACGGUUAUUAUAAUAAUUGAGUGUACCCAAUGGAGGCUGCAUUACAUAAUUAAUCAGAGGGUAAGGGCGUCCAUAGUUUUCAUUGAACUACUGCAGUUUCCAACUGAAUUUUCAUUUGCAGAUUCCGAAGAACGGAGUUCUAGGUUCUAACCAUGUCGCUUCCAUUUGUUGUAUUCUGAGAAUAAAUCUUGUUCUAUAUCCCUGCAUUGUUAUCCACUGGACUCUAAAACAAAAAUCAAUGUUUGCACAUCCAGACAAGGUAAACUUAUGAUGAGUAGACUCCACAAUAUAAAUUGACAUUCUAUGUCAGUGGAAGUGAGUCUAUACUCACCGAGGAACAAUUUGAUCUGAUAACUAUGAAAUGUUCUUUGUUGGUUUUGGUUCUAUAAGAUCAAGAUCUAUAAUUAUAUUCACUUUACAUGUUAA
This is a long non-coding RNA of Triticum dicoccoides, 876 nucleotides long. RefSeq lists it as uncharacterized. The record is from RefSeq and is a predicted model, not a curated record. The transcript has 3 exons. NCBI's taxonomy places the organism in Eukaryota, Viridiplantae, Streptophyta, Magnoliopsida, Poales, Poaceae.